AGGAGACAGGUGCUGCAUGGCUGUCGUCAGCUCGUGUCGUGAGAUGUUGGGUUAAGUCCCGCAACGAGCGCAACCCUUAUCUUUAAUUGCCAGCAUUCAGUUGGCACUUUAAGAGACUGCCGGUGUUAAACCGGAGGAAGGUGGGAUGACGUCAAAGUCCUCAUGGCCUUUAUGCUUAGGGCUACACACGUGCUACAAUGGGUGGUACAAAGAGAAGCCAACUCGCGAGAGCGCGCCAAUCUCAAAAAGCCAUCCUCAGUUCGGAUUGGAGUCUGCAACUCGACUCCAUGAAGUUGGAAUCGCUAGUAAUCGCGGAUCAGCAUGCCGCGGUCGAAUACGUUCCCGGGCCUU
Molecule: ribosomal RNA, 351 nt
Filed under: uncultured Smithella sp.
Lineage: Bacteria; Pseudomonadati; Thermodesulfobacteriota; Syntrophia; Syntrophales; Smithellaceae
Description: bacterial SSU rRNA
Rfam family: Bacterial small subunit ribosomal RNA
Source: RNAcentral